CCAGUGUGAGUAUACAGGUCAAGACACAAGAAAUGCACUCUGUUAAUUUCAGGAAACACAGGAAGCUUCAAAAGUUGUUAAAGAGGAUUGUGUUCUACAGCGUUAUUUUUGUCAGGUACUUCACGAAACAUUCAUCUACAGUACAUCAUAAUUCCACUUAUUUUCAUGUCUAUCGAAUCCUUGAGCUCCCUGAACUCUGAGCCAAGAAGCAUGCCAGUUAAGACGCCUCCUGGGAAUUUGACCUGAGACUACCAACUCAUUUCAGGAAACUCCUGGAAACACCUAAGGAACAAAGACUGAACUGGGGGAAGUGCUGGACCCAGGCUAAAGGGAUUUUUAGCCUGUGAAUGGAACACCUGGGGAUUCCAAGCUGUAAGCAAAUGCAGCUUGCCCCUUAAGAAUCUGCAGCCUGUUUGUAUCAUCACUUAGACCCUGCAAGGGGUGGACUUCCACAGGACUCAUUCAGAGGGCUGACUCUCCAAGAGCUGGAUCCAUGGGGUUUACUGCCUGGAUACUGAGGACCAGAGGCUGGGCAUUUGAAUGACUGAAGCCUUGUCUACAUGGGGACUGUGACUGAAAGCACCCCAGUAUUCACCCCAAUGCACCAUUAUAAUAAUCUUUGUACAAAAUAUGCCUUGUGAGAUAUCAUCUGAAAAGUAAUAACUUGCUGGUCAAUAUUAUCACGGUGAAAUGUAUGUAGCAAUAUUAUAUGUAAAGUUAUGAAUUCCCCUGUAUGAUGAUAUUAGCACAUGUUCAAACCCACACAGUCCUGACUAGUCAAAGUUGUUAAGUAGGUCUAUCCUAAACAAAGGAAUGUGUAUUUAUCUCAAUUUACAUAGAAGUAGUAAACAGACUGCUUGAGACUGCAAGAGGGGGAAAUGGCAGGAGACAAGGCAAAUCUGCAUUUCAGCAUACAGGGGGGAGAAGAAAGAGCAUGGAACCACCUUUACCACCAGGAUCCACUUCACCUUCUUUACUGUUUGAAUAAAUUUUUGCUUUGAAAGGUAAUCCUCAGAAUCAUCCGCUUCCAAGGGUGAUUGGACUAUGAAAGUGAGAGGCAAAAAGACCCCAAAGCAUCUCUCUCUCUCUCUCUCUCUCCUACCUAAGAAGACAAAGGAACCCUCCCUUUGACCGUGGGAGGAUCCUGACCUGAGAAUUUGAUCAGCAAUGUUGCUGGGAAUAUGUGAAUGAUUAAAAGAAGAAAGACAAUGAAGCUGAUUCCCUGGAGAAUGAAUGGGAUCCUGUCAACAUGUCAGGAAGCCACAUGCUAAGAUACCUCCCACCCCCCAAAAAAGACCAUAAAAUUAAGCAGCUCUAUAUCUAUGAAGCCCUGAGUGAUUUUGAGAAAGGCAUUUGGUUAAAACUGUUUUCCACACUCCAUCUUCUUCUGUAGGUAAAUUAAGGGCCAGAUUGUGAACCUGUUGCUCACCUCAAUAAGCAGUUUCUGACAAAAGUAAUUCCAUUGAUGUCAAUGCAAUUGCUUGUGAAGUGUUCACAGUCUGGUCCUAGAUUUUGAUUAUAAUGAGUUUAGCAGUUCCUCAUCUUACUUGAUCUAGCUAAUUUGUAUAGUGUUGUAAUUUUUCAGUAUAUUAACUCCCCAAUUAGCCAAUCAACGGGGAAAAAAGAUAUUUUAUAAAUCCCCAAAAUGAUUAAUUCCAUUGUGUGAAAUGUAAAGAGAUUUUUAGAACUAUUACUCAAAACAUAACCAAUAAAUGGUUUAUUUGAGUUGGACCACAACUGCCCAGAAAUAUAAAUCUACUUCUUUAUCAAUGGAUGGAAUGGCUGAAAGGGGAGUUGUGAAGGUUGGGAAGAUGUACUACUUAUUUGCACAUGUGAGACACAAAUUUCAGACAUGUUUGUACCUGAAUACUUGGAUGCUAAUAUCUAAACUGUAUUCUUAAAUGUAUUCACCCAAAUUUGGGUUAUUGCUGAUUAUGUACUAUAUGUAUCUUAUGACUUUAAAAACAAACUUUGUAUUUGUGGAUAAACUAAGCACUAUGCCCAGAUGUACAGACACUAUUUUCUUAACCUGUGCACUAUAUAUUUUUUUAACAUUAGCUUUAAUGGGAGAGAAUUACAAGAACAUUAAGUGAUUUACUGACAGUGUUCCAAACUUCCCAGUACACGCCUUCAUUUAAGUAUUCCCAUUAAUUUGGUUACUUUUUUUAGAACAAUCUAUUUAUCAUUGAUGUUAAAUAGUAAUAACACAGCUGAGUGGUAUGAAAACUACGCUGUGUUGUUCAGAACUAUGCAUAAUAUGUUGUAACACCUAAUUGUCUGUGCAUGGGUGUAACAACCGAUAAAAUACAGAUAUAGACACCUUUUGACAAUAUUUGUAUUGCCAUUUAAUACUUCAACUGUUCCAUUAAAUGCAAAAUCAUUAGAACUUUUCAGGGCUCAGUCUUUCUAUUCUUCCUCUGUCCCAAAGGAGUUGGCACAAAUAUUUUCUGAAAGCCAUUGCUCAGCAUGGUGUGUAGACUCCAAAGUGUCUAUUCAGAUCUAUCUGUGGUUUUAUACCACACUCAUCACCGUGGUAUCAAAGUCAGCGACCGAAUAACCAAAUCUGUCACUGCGACAGGCAUGUGCUUUUCUACAUGCUGUGCCCCAGCUUUAUCUUCCAGGAUGGUUUAGGUGAAAUAUAUUGAAACACAAUAGCUCAGAGUCCUUUUACAUUUUAUCAGAAGAAAAGAUUUCCACGUUGGUGCUAAAGCUGU
Molecule: long non-coding RNA, 2714 nt
Organism: Malaclemys terrapin pileata
Lineage: Eukaryota; Metazoa; Chordata; Testudines; Emydidae
Exons: 6
Source: RefSeq, a predicted model, not a curated record